GAUGAACGCUGGCGGCGUGCUUAACACAUGCAAGUCGAACGAACCUUCGGGUUAGUGGCGGACGGGUGAGUAACGCGUGAGAAUCUGCCCUCAGGAGGGGGACAACAGCUGGAAACGGCUGCUAAUACCCCAUAUGCCGCGAGGUGAAAUGAAUUUCGCCUGAGGAUGAGCUCGCGUCUGAUUAGCUAGUUGGUGGGGUAAAAGCCUACCAAGGCGACGAUCCGUAGCUGGUCUGAGAGGAUGAUCAGCCACACUGGAACUGAGACACGGUCCAGACUCCUACGGGAGGCAGCAGUGGGGAAUAUUGCGCAAUGGGGGCAACCCUGACGCAGCCAUGCCGCGUGUGUGAAGAAGGCCCUAGGGUUGUAAAGCACUUUCAAUUGGGAAGAAAAGCUGAUGGUUAAUAACUAUCAGCCCUGACAUUACCUUUAGAAGAAGCACCGGCUAACUCCGUG
This 455-nucleotide ribosomal RNA is filed under the name uncultured bacterium. RNAcentral describes it as "bacterial SSU rRNA". It matches the Rfam family "Bacterial small subunit ribosomal RNA", at positions 28 to 507 of the family's 1533-position model. The record is from RNAcentral.